GUGGGGAAUAUUGGUCAAUGGCGGCAACGCUGAACCAGCCAAGUAGCGUGAGGGAUUACGGCCCUAUGGGUCUUAAACCUCUUUUGUUGGGGAGCAACCUGUGCCACUUGUGGCACACUGCGAGUACCCUUCGAAUAAGCAUCGGCUAACUCCGUGCCAGCAGCCGCGGUAAUACGGAGGAUGCGAGCGUUAUCCGGAUUUAUUGGGUUUAAAGGGAGCGCGGACCGGAGAUUAAGUCAGCUGUUAAAUGGCGGCGCCCAACGCCGUCCUGCGGUUGAUACUGGUUUCCUUGAGUGCGGCAUGGGCAGGCGGAAUUCACGGUGUAGCGGUGAAAUGCUUAGAUAUCGUGAAGAACUCCGAUCGCGAAGGCAGCCUGCCGGACCGUUACUGACGUUUAGGCUCGAAAGUGCGGGUAUCAAACAGG
RNAcentral lists this ribosomal RNA (424 nucleotides) under uncultured rumen bacterium. Its description in RNAcentral is "bacterial SSU rRNA". It matches the Rfam family "Bacterial small subunit ribosomal RNA", at positions 354 to 776 of the family's 1533-position model. The record is from RNAcentral.